GACGAACGCUGGCGGCGUGCCUAGUACAUGCAAGUAGAACGCUGAAGGAGGAGCUUGCUUCUCUGGAUGAGUUGCGAACGGGUGAGUAACGCGUAGGUAACCUGCCUGGUAGCGGGGGAUAACUAUUGGAAACGAUAGCUAAUACCGCAUAAGAGUAGAUGUUGCAUGACAUUUGCUUAAAAGGUGCAAUUGCAUCACUACCAGAUGGACCUGCGUUGUAUUAGCUAGUUGGUGGGGUAACGGCUCACCAAGGCGACGAUACAUAGCCGACCUGAGAGGGUGAUCGGCCACACUGGGACUGAGACACGGCCCAGACUCCUACGGGAGGCAGCAGUAGGGAAUCUUCGGCAAUGGACGGAAGUCUGACCGAGCAACGCCGCGUGAGUGAAGAAGGUUUUCGGAUCGUAAAGCUCUGUUGUAAGAGAAGAACGAGUGUGAGAGUGGAAAGUUCACACUGUGACGGUAGCUUACCAGAAAGGGACGGCUAACUACGUG
This 495-nucleotide ribosomal RNA is filed under the name uncultured bacterium. RNAcentral's name for it is "partial 16S ribosomal RNA". It matches the Rfam family "Bacterial small subunit ribosomal RNA", at positions 28 to 507 of the family's 1533-position model. The record is from RNAcentral.